Molecule: ribosomal RNA, 253 nt
Filed under: uncultured bacterium
Lineage: Bacteria
Description: partial 16S ribosomal RNA
Rfam family: Bacterial small subunit ribosomal RNA
Source: RNAcentral
UACGAAGGGGGCUAGCGUUGUUCGGAAUUACUGGGCGUAAAGCGCACGUAGGCGGAUUUGUUAGUCAGGGGUGAAAUCCCGGGGCUCAACCUCGGAACUGCCUUUGAUACUGCAAGUCUCGAGUCCGGAAGAGGUGAGUGGAACUGCGAGUGUAGAGGUGAAAUUCGUAGAUAUUCGCAAGAACACCAGUGGCGAAGGCGGCUCACUGGCCCGGUACUGACGCUGAGGCACGAAAGCGUGGGGAGCAAACAGG